This 497-nucleotide ribosomal RNA is filed under the name uncultured Flavobacteriaceae bacterium. RNAcentral's name for it is "partial 16S ribosomal RNA". The record is from RNAcentral. Lineage: Bacteria; Pseudomonadati; Bacteroidota; Flavobacteriia; Flavobacteriales; Flavobacteriaceae.
CACGGAGUUAGCCGAUCCUUAUUCUUACGGUACCGUCAAGCCUCUACACGUAGAGGUGUUUCUUCCCGUACAAAAGCAGUUUACACACCAUAGAUGCGUCAUCCUGCACGCGGCAUGGCUGGUUCAGGCUUGCGCCCAUUGACCAAUAUUCCUCACUGCUGCCUCCCGUAGGAGUCUGGUCCGUGUCUCAGUACCAGUGUGGGGGUAUCUCCCUCUCAGGACCCCGUACCCAUCAUUGCCUUGGUAUGCCGUUACCACACCAACUAGCUAACUGGGACGCAUGCUCAUCUUACACCAAUAAACUCUUUAAUAUGUUUGGGAUGUCCCAGUCAUAUACUAUAAGGUAUAAUCCAAAUUCCCUGGCUAUCCCUUAGUGUAAGGUAGAUUGCAUACGCGUUACGCACCCGUGCGCCGGUCUCAAAGCCCGAAGACUUCUACCCCUCGACUUGCAUGUGUUAGGCCUGCCGCUACGCGUUCAUCCUGAGCCAGGAUCAAAC